Molecule: ribosomal RNA, 253 nt
Filed under: uncultured prokaryote
Description: partial 16S ribosomal RNA
Rfam family: Bacterial small subunit ribosomal RNA
Source: RNAcentral
UACGAAGGGGGCAAGCGUUGUUCGGAAUUACUGGGCGUAAAGGGCGCGUAGGCGGCUUAUCAAGUCAGGCGUGAAAUUCCCGGGCUCAACCUGGGGGCUGCGCUUGAUACUGAUGGGCUUGAAUGCGGGAGAGGAUAGUGGAAUUCCCAGUGUAGAGGUGAAAUUCGUAGAUAUUGGGAAGAACACCGGUGGCGAAGGCGGCCAUCUGGACCGGAACUGACGCUGAGGCGCGAAAGCCAGGGGAGCGAAUGGG